GGUUGCCGUCACGUCGCCACCAGUCAUCUCCAUCGUCCAUGCUCCUCCAGCGCCAACCACCGGAGAAGGCGCCCUCCUUCUGUAGCUUCCUCGCCCCAAUCAGCCCACCCCGGCUCCUUCGGUGCCGGCGACUGAACCGCCCCCGCCAGCGGCUUCUCCCGCACUCGUGCCCUCUCCAUAUCCCGCCCCAAACUCCACCUCCUCCAGCCCCAUCUCCCCCGAUCUUCUCGGUCUGGAUCUUGGGAGCACGCGGGAGAGAGGCGACGUGGGCGUUGCCCGGACGAGGCAUGGUGGUGGUGGCGAGAGACAGAUGAGUGUUAGCUACGUUUGCCGUCGUUGAAGAAUCGGGGGAGGCCGGACAAGGGCGGUUGGAGUUCCGUGCCCGCGGUGGCCGGAUGGGUGGCUCCCCCGCUCUCGGCAACCCGUCCUCCACCGGGUUUACUUCCUCGACGACCACCUCGGGGCCUCCAUCAAUCACCCGCGCUUCCUGGGCAGGAAGGUGAUUACAGGGAAUGGAGGCAUGCCGUGCAAGAAAUCACGAGGUUUCUAAAGGCUGACUCGCCUUUCAUGAACCUGAGACUUCUCAAGAGCUUUUGUUGUGCUGAGUCUUAUGUACGAGACAAGUAUGUGUCAUGAACUAACUUCAGAUAUUUGGUUCAGAAGUGUCGAGCAUAACUAUCCAUGGUGGUAUAUACACAGGCAGCGGUUCUGUGCCGCCCGGUGUGGCAUAUGCGGUCGUCCGUGUUAUGUGCUCCCGUAGGGUGGCUGUGAUGCGUGUGGCGUGCGUGCGGAAUGUGCGUCGGCCGACGUGCGUCUGUGUUCGUGUGUGUGGCGCUAUACUGGCAGAGGAAGCGGGCGGUUGCCGGCAGAGGAGGAACUUCAAGACAACAAGGGGAAUCAGGCUUCAUGGCUACACAUUCAUCUUUGAUUUUCCCCAAAUCUGAAAUUGUUUGACCCCUAAAUUUUAUUCCCCUUGAGAAAGCCAGAGUAUUCACAUAUAUUCAGGACAAUAUGGUCUAUCGAUGUUGACAAAUUUGAUUGCAACAGGGACUGGCAAAGUGCAGCGCUCACCAUUGCAUAUAUAUUCAGGGCAAAAUCUAACUUCAGUCAGAAGAUGACCAGGCAGGAGCUAUAUAUCCCUCUUGAAAGUUCAGGUAUCUUCCUCUUGCAUGUUAGUAUUGCUCUUUUUAUUUGCAUUUAAGCAUGGUUAUCAUGCUAUAUCCGGGAGAGAAGUGAUUGUCGGGUACCUAGGGUGACAGAUGUUCACUUCUUUAUUGCUAAUUGAUAAAAUCAUCCAUCGUGAAUUUUCCAUCUGAGUGGCAACACUAGACAAGAGGAAGAUCUGGUAACUCUAGCUAGGCCACUCCAGAGGAGGUCUUGCGUCGUCCGCCUCGCGAGGCUUGGCCCCUCGCGAGGGUCUUGGAUGCUUUGUUGGUGAAGAUGGGCGGUACGGCCCGCUGGCUCCGCCAUGCCGUGGGCCGCAGGCAGGCAAGUCUGGAGACCCCCAUUCCGAGAACGCCGACAUAAUGGGGA
This is a long non-coding RNA of Triticum aestivum (bread wheat), 1533 nucleotides long. RefSeq lists it as uncharacterized. The transcript has 4 exons. NCBI's taxonomy places the organism in Eukaryota, Viridiplantae, Streptophyta, Magnoliopsida, Poales, Poaceae. The record is from RefSeq and is a predicted model, not a curated record.